UGAAAGUGGAUGUACCCAUGGGAUUUGC
This 28-nucleotide non-coding RNA is filed under the name Homo sapiens (human). Lineage: Eukaryota; Metazoa; Chordata; Mammalia; Primates; Hominidae. The record is from RNAcentral.